GAUUAACGCUGGCGGCAUGCUUUACACAUGCAAGUCGAACGGUAACAGGUUAAGCUGACGAGUGGCGAACGGGUGAGUAAUGCAUCGGAACGUGCCCAGUCGUGGGGGAUAACGCAGCGAAAGCUGUGCUAAUACCGCAUACGAUCUCUGGAUGAAAGCGGGGGACCGAAAGGCCUCGCGCGAUUGGAGCGGCCGAUGUCAGAUUAGGUAGUUGGUGGGGUAAAGGCCCACCAAGCCAACGAUCUGUAGCUGGUCCGAGAGGACGACCAGCCACACUGGGACUGAGACACGGCCCAGACUCCUACGGGAGGCAGCAGUGGGGAAUUUUGGACAAUGGGGGUAACCCUGAUCCAGCAAUGCCGCGUGCAGGAUGAAGGCCUUCGGGUUGUAAACUGCUUUUGUACGGAACGAAAAGGUUUGGCCUAAUAAGCUGAGCUCAUGACGGUACCGUAAGAAUAAGCACCGGCUAACUACGUGCCAGCAGCCGCUGUAA
This 493-nucleotide ribosomal RNA is filed under the name uncultured bacterium. Its description in RNAcentral is "partial 16S ribosomal RNA". It matches the Rfam family "Bacterial small subunit ribosomal RNA", at positions 28 to 523 of the family's 1533-position model. The record is from RNAcentral.